RNAcentral lists this transfer RNA (89 nucleotides) under Myxococcales bacterium. RNAcentral's name for it is "tRNA-Leu". It matches the Rfam family "tRNA". Rfam says of the family: Transfer RNA (tRNA) molecules are approximately 80 nucleotides in length. Their secondary structure includes four short double-helical elements and three loops (D, anti-codon, and T loops). Lineage: Bacteria; Pseudomonadati; Myxococcota; Myxococcia; Myxococcales. RNAcentral also lists the same sequence under 1 other name. The record is from RNAcentral.
GCCCGGGUGGCGAAACGGCAGACGCAGGGGACUUAAAAUCCCCCGCUGGCACCAACCCCAGCAUGCGGGUUCGAGUCCCGCCCCGGGCA